GACGAACGCUGGCGGCGUGCCUAAUACAUGCAAGUAGAACGCUGAAGAGAGGAGCUUGCUCUUCUUGGAUGAGUUGCGAACGGGUGAGUAACGCGUAGGUAACCUGCCUUGUAGCGGGGGAUAACUAUUGGAAACGAUAGCUAAUACCGCAUAACAAUGGAUGACACAUGUCAUUUAUUUGAAAGGGGCAAUUGCUCCACUACAAGAUGGACCUGCGUUGUAUUAGCUAGUGGGUGAGGUAACGGCUCACCUAGGCGACGAUACAUAGCCGACCUGAGAGGGUGAUCGGCCACACUGGGACUGAGACACGGCCCAGACUCCUACGGGAGGCAGCAGUAGGGAAUCUUCGGCAAUGGGGGCAACCCUGACCGGGCAACGCCGCGUGAGUGAAGAAGGUCUUCGGAUCGUAAAGCUCUGUUGUAAGUCAAGAACGAGUGUGAGAGUGGAAAGUUCACACUGUGACGGUAGCUUACCAGAAAGGGACGGCUAACUACGUGCCAGCAGCCGCGGUAAUACGUAGGUCCCGAGCGUUGUCCGGAUUUAUUGGGCGUAAAGCGAGCGCAGGCGGUUUGAUAAGUCUGAAGUUAAAGGCUGUGGCUCAACCAUAGUUCGCUUUGGAAACUGUCAAACUUGAGUGCAGAAGGGGAGAGUGGAAUUCCAUGUGUAGCGGUGAAAUGCGUAGAUAUAUGGAGGAACACCGGUGGCGAAAGCGGCUCUCUGGUCUGUAACUGACGCUGAGGCUCGAAAGCGUGGGGAGCGAACAGGAUUAGAUACCCUGGUAGUCCACGCCGUAAACGAUGAGUGCUAGGUGUUGGAUCCUUUCCGGGAUUCAGUGCCGCAGCUAACGCAUUAAGCACUCCGCCUGGGGAGUACGACCGCAAGGUUGAAACUCAAAGGAAUUGACGGGGGCCCGCACAAGCGGUGGAGCAUGUGGUUUAAUUCGAAGCAACGCGAAGAACCUUACCAGGUCUUGACAUCCCGAUGCUAUUUCUAGAGAUAGAAAGUUACUUCGGUACAUCGGUGACAGGUGGUGCAUGGUUGUCGUCAGCUCGUGUCGUGAGAUGUUGGGUUAAGUCCCGCAACGAGCGCAACCCCUAUUGUUAGUUGCCAUCAUUCAGUUGGGCACUCUAGCGAGACUGCCGGUAAUAAACCGGAGGAAGGUGGGGAUGACGUCAAAUCAUCAUGCCCCUUAUGACCUGGGCUACACACGUGCUACAAUGGUUGGUACAACGAGUUGCGAGUCGGUGACGGCAAGCUAAUCUCUUAAAGCCAAUCUCAGUUCGGAUUGUAGGCUGCAACUCGCCUACAUGAAGUCGGAAUCGCUAGUAAUCGCGGAUCAGCACGCCGCGGUGAAUACGUUCCCGGGCCU
RNAcentral lists this ribosomal RNA (1369 nucleotides) under uncultured bacterium. RNAcentral describes it as "bacterial SSU rRNA". It matches the Rfam family "Bacterial small subunit ribosomal RNA", at positions 28 to 1381 of the family's 1533-position model. The record is from RNAcentral.